CUGCCGCCGCAGCAGCAGAUCUACUAAAAUUGGAAAGACACAGAGAAGAUCUAUAUCUUCUGUGCGCACCUUCGAUACUAGCAUGGCCUCAGCAAGGGUGAUGCAAAUUUGUGACAAGGUCCCUAUUUUA
Small nuclear RNA from Tursiops truncatus (common bottlenose dolphin), 130 nucleotides. NCBI's taxonomy places the organism in Eukaryota, Metazoa, Chordata, Mammalia, Artiodactyla, Delphinidae. The record is from Ensembl.